This 1006-nucleotide ribosomal RNA is filed under the name Bacillus subtilis. Its description in RNAcentral is "bacterial SSU rRNA". It matches the Rfam family "Bacterial small subunit ribosomal RNA", at positions 56 to 1042 of the family's 1533-position model. Lineage: Bacteria; Bacillati; Bacillota; Bacilli; Caryophanales; Bacillaceae. The record is from RNAcentral.
UGCAGUCGAGCGGACAGAUGGGAGCUUGCUCCCUGAUGUUAGCGGCGGACGGGUGAGUAACACGUGGGUAACCUGCCUGUAAGACUGGGAUAACUCCGGGAAACCGGGGCUAAUACCGGAUGGUUGUUUGAACCGCAUGGUUCAAACAUAAAAGGUGGCUUCGGCUACCACUUACAGAUGGACCCGCGGCGCAUUAGCUAGUUGGUGAGGUAACGGCUCACCAAGGCAACGAUGCGUAGCCGACCUGAGAGGGUGAUCGGCCACACUGGGACUGAGACACGGCCCAGACUCCUACGGGAGGCAGCAGUAGGGAAUCUUCCGCAAUGGACGAAAGUCUGACGGAGCAACGCCGCGUGAGUGAUGAAGGUUUUCGGAUCGUAAAGCUCUGUUGUUAGGGAAGAACAAGUACCGUUCGAAUAGGGCGGUACCUUGACGGUACCUAACCAGAAAGCCACGGCUAACUACGUGCCAGCAGCCGCGGUAAUACGUAGGUGGCAAGCGUUGUCCGGAAUUAUUGGGCGUAAAGGGCUCGCAGGCGGUUUCUUAAGUCUGAUGUGAAAGCCCCCGGCUCAACCGGGGAGGGUCAUUGGAAACUGGGGAACUUGAGUGCAGAAGAGGAGAGUGGAAUUCCACGUGUAGCGGUGAAAUGCGUAGAGAUGUGGAGGAACACCAGUGGCGAAGGCGACUCUCUGGUCUGUAACUGACGCUGAGGAGCGAAAGCGUGGGGAGCGAACAGGAUUAGAUACCCUGGUAGUCCACGCCGUAAACGAUGAGUGCUAAGUGUUAAGGGGGUUUCCGCCCCUUAGUGCUGCAGCUAACGCAUUAAGCACUCCGCCUGGGGAGUACGGUCGCAAGACUGAAACUCAAAGGAAUUGACGGGGGCCCGCACAAGCGGUGGAACAUGUGGUUUAAUUCGAAGCAACGCGAAGAACCUUACCAGGUCUUGACAUCCUCUGACAUUCCUAGAAAAUAGGACGUCCCCUUCGGGGGCAAAAUGACAGGUGGU